GGGUUGUGAGGUUAAGCGACUAAGCGUACACGGUGGAUGCCAUGGCAGUCAGAGGCGAUGAAGGGCGUGCUAAUCUGCGAUAAGCGCCGGUAAGGUGAUAUGAACCGUUAUAACCGGCGAUACCCGAAUGGGGAAACCCAGUGUGACUCGUCACACUAUCAUUAACUGAAUCCAUAGGUUAAUGAGGCGAACCGGGGGAACUGAAACAUCUAAGUACCCCGAGGAAAAGAAAUCAACCGAGAUUCCCCCAGUAGCGGCGAGCGAACGGGGAGGAGCCCAGAGCCUGAAUCAGCAUGUGUGUUAGUGGAAGCGUCUGGAAAGGCGCGCGAUACAGGGUGACAGCCCCGUACACAAAAGCGCAUGUGCUGUGAGCUCGAUGAGUAGGGCGGGACACGUGGUAUCCUGUCUGAAUAUGGGGGGACCAUCCUCCAAGGCUAAAUACUCCUGACUGACCGAUAGUGAACCAGUACCGUGAGGGAAAGGCGAAAAGAACCCCGGCGAGGGGAGUGAAAAAGAACCUGAAACCGUGUACGUACAAGCAGUGGGAGCCCCACCACUAAGCCAGUGGUGAACUCCACAUACGCAUCCUUUGCUGAGGAUACGGUUAACGGAGCGAAAGCGACGUUCAACCUCAAAAGAAGCAGAGGGGGCUUAGUGGUGGGGUGACUGCGUACCUUUUGUAUAAUGGGUCAGCGACUUAUAUUCUGUAGCAAGGUUAACCGAAUAGGGGAGCCG
RNAcentral lists this ribosomal RNA (735 nucleotides) under Salmonella enterica. Its description in RNAcentral is "partial 23S ribosomal RNA". It matches the Rfam family "Bacterial large subunit ribosomal RNA", at positions 1 to 668 of the family's 2925-position model. Lineage: Bacteria; Pseudomonadati; Pseudomonadota; Gammaproteobacteria; Enterobacterales; Enterobacteriaceae. The record is from RNAcentral.